This is a transfer RNA of 78 nucleotides. It matches the Rfam family "tRNA". Rfam says of the family: Transfer RNA (tRNA) molecules are approximately 80 nucleotides in length. Their secondary structure includes four short double-helical elements and three loops (D, anti-codon, and T loops).
CGGGGCGUAGCUCAGCUUGGUUAGAGCGUCGCGUUUGGGACGCGAAGGCCGGACGUUCGAAUCGUCUCGCCCCGACCA